Molecule: ribosomal RNA, 425 nt
Filed under: uncultured bacterium
Lineage: Bacteria
Description: partial 16S ribosomal RNA
Rfam family: Bacterial small subunit ribosomal RNA
Source: RNAcentral
GUGGGGAAUCUUAGACAAUGGGGGAAACCCUGAUCUAGCCAUGCCGCGUGAGCGAUGAAGGCCUUAGGGUUGUAAAGCUCUUUCAGAGGGGAAGAUAAUGACGGUACCCUCAGAAGAAGCCCCGGCUAACUCCGUGCCAGCAGCCGCGGUAAUACGGAGGGGGCUAGCGUUGUUCGGAAUUACUGGGCGUAAAGCGCACGUAGGCGGACCAGAAAGUCAGGGGUGAAAUCCCGGGGCUCAACCCCGGAACUGCCUUUGAAACUCCUGGUCUUGAGGUCGAUAGAGGUGGGUGGAAUUCCGAGUGUAGAGGUGAAAUUCGUAGAUAUUCGGAGGAACACCAGUGGCGAAGGCGGCUCACUGGCUCGAUACUGACGCUGAGGUGCGAAAGCGUGGGGAGCAAACAGGAUUAGAUACCCCAGUAGUCC